UGCUUAAUACAUGCAAGUCGAGCGAACAGACGAGGAGCUUGCUCCUCUGACGUUAGCGGCGGACGGGUGAGUAACACGUGGAUAACCUACCUAUAAGACUGGGAUAACUUCGGGAAACCGGAGCUAAUACCGGAUAAUAUAUUGAACCGCAUGGUUCAAUAGUGAAAGACGGUUUUGCUGUCACUUAUAGAUGGAUCCGCACCGCAUUAGCUAGUUGGUAAGGUAACGGCUUACCAAGGCAACGAUGCGUAGCCGACCUGAGAGGGUGAUCGGCCACACUGGAACUGAGACACGGUCCAGACUCCUACGGGAGGCAGCAGUAGGGAAUCUUCCGCAAUGGGCGAAAGCCUGACGGAGCAACGCCGCGUGAGUGAUGAAGGUCUUCGGAUCGUAAAACUCUGUUAUUAGGGAAGAACAAAUGUGUAAGUAACUAUGCACGUCUUGACGGUACCUAAUCAGAAAGCCACGGCUAACUACGUGCCAGCAGCCGCGGUGAUACGUAGGGUGCGAGCGUUGUCCGGAUUUAUUGGGCGUAAAGGGCUCGUAGGUGGUUGAUCGCGUCGGAAGUGUAAUCUUGGGGCUUAACCCUGAGCGUGCUUUCGAUACGGGUUGACUUGAGGAAGGUAGGGGAGAAUGGANUUCCUGGUGGAGCGGUGGAAUGCGCAGAUAUCAGGAGGAACACCAGUGGCGAAGGCGGUUCUCUGGGCCUUUCCUGACGCUGAGGAGCGAAAGCGUGGGGAGCGAACAGGCUUAGAUACCCUGGUAGUCCACGCUGUAAACGGUGGGUACUAGGUGUGGGGUCCAUUCCACGGGUUCCGUGCCGUAGCUAACGCUUUAAGUACCCCGCCUGGGGAGUACGGCCGCAAGGCUAAAACUCAAAGGAAUUGACGGGGCCCCGCACAAGCGGCGGAGCAUGCGGAUUAAUUCGAUGCAACGCGUAGAACCUUACCUGGGUUUGACAUGGAUCGGGAGUGCUCAGAGAUGGGUGUGCCUCUUUUGGGGUCGGUUCACAGGUGGUGCAUGGCUGUCGUCAGCUCGUGUCGUGAGAUGUUGGGUUAAGUCCCGCAACGAGCGCAACCCUUGUUCACUGUUGCCAGCACGUUAUGGUGGGGACUCAGUGGAGACCGCCGGGGUCAACUCGGAGGAAGGUGGGGAUGACGUCAAGUCAUCAUGCCCCUUAUGUCCAGGGCUUCACGCAUGCUACAAUGGCUGGUACAGAGAGUGGCGAGCCUGUGAGGGUGAGCGAAUCUCGGAAAGCCGGUCUCAGUUCGGAUUGGGGUCUGCAACUCGACCUCAUGAAGUCGGAGUCGCUAGUAAUCGCAGAUCAGCAACGCUGCGGUGAAUACGUUCCCGGGGCUUGUACACACCGCCCGUCAAGUCAUGAAAGUUGGUAACACCCGAAGCCGGUGGCCUAACCGUUGUGGGGGAGCCGUCGAAGGUGGGACUGGUGAUUAGGACUAAGUCGUAACAAGGUAACCAA
This 1480-nucleotide ribosomal RNA is filed under the name uncultured bacterium. RNAcentral describes it as "bacterial SSU rRNA". It matches the Rfam family "Bacterial small subunit ribosomal RNA". The record is from RNAcentral.